This is a non-coding RNA of Vicia faba (fava bean), 252 nucleotides long. The record is from the annotation of a GenBank genome assembly. NCBI's taxonomy places the organism in Eukaryota, Viridiplantae, Streptophyta, Magnoliopsida, Fabales, Fabaceae.
AUGCUAGCCAAUGUUUUUGCAGAGAAAGGUGGAAACGGUUUACAGAAUGAAAACUCUCUGAUGGCGUCUUGGAGCAAGAUUCAUCAAGUAUUUUUGGGAAUUAUUUGGCACGAUUUUGACAAUUGUAUGCAGAGGUGGUUUAGUCUAACUGUCAGCUUGGUUUUAAAACAUGAAGGAAAAUGUGGAAUUUGGUUGAGGCUUUCGAAGGCAAGGCAUGAUGAAAGUUACUUGGAGAAAAUGAAGAAAGCUUAG